GACGAACGCUGGCGGCGUGCUUAACACAUGCAAGUGGUGCGACGAACCAGGGCUUGCCCUGGGGCAAAGCCGCGAACGGGUGAGUAACACGUGGGUAAUCUGCCCCGAUGACCGGGACAACCCGAGGAAACUCGGGCUAAUACCGGAUGUGGUGCACGGCCUCAAGGCCAUGUACUAAAGGAAGCUUCGGCCUCCGCAUUGGGAGGAGCCCGCGGCCCAUUAGCUUGUUGGUGGGUAACGGCCUACCAAGGCAACGAUGGGUAGCUGGUCUGAGAGGACGAUCAGCCACACUGGGACUGAGACACGGCCCAGACUCCUACGGGAGGCUG
RNAcentral lists this ribosomal RNA (329 nucleotides) under uncultured Actinomycetes bacterium. RNAcentral describes it as "bacterial SSU rRNA". It matches the Rfam family "Bacterial small subunit ribosomal RNA", at positions 28 to 351 of the family's 1533-position model. The record is from RNAcentral. Lineage: Bacteria; Bacillati; Actinomycetota; Actinomycetes.